Molecule: ribosomal RNA, 406 nt
Filed under: uncultured bacterium
Lineage: Bacteria
Description: partial 16S ribosomal RNA
Rfam family: Bacterial small subunit ribosomal RNA
Source: RNAcentral
AUCGAACGCUGGCGGCGGGCCUAACACAUGCAAGUCGAACGAGUGGCGGACGGGUGAGUAAUGUCUGGGGAAACGCCUGAUGGAGGGGGAUAACUACUGGAAACGGUAGCUAAUACCGCAUACCAUCAGCUGUGCCCAGAUGGGAUUAGGUUGUUGGUGGGGUAACGGCUCACCGAGGCGAAGAUCCCUAGCUGGGCUGAGAGGAUGACCGGCCAGACUGGAACGGAGACACGGUCCAGACUCCUACGGGAGGCAGCAGGGGGGAAUAUUGCACAAUGGGCGCAAGCCUGAUGCAGCAAUGCCGCGUGGAUGAAGAAGGUCUUCGGGUUGUAAAGUACUGUCAGCGGGGAGGCGUUAACCGCAGAAGAAGCACCGGCUAACUCCGUGCCAGCAGCCGCGGUAAUUC